RNAcentral lists this ribosomal RNA (407 nucleotides) under uncultured bacterium. RNAcentral's name for it is "partial 16S ribosomal RNA". It matches the Rfam family "Bacterial small subunit ribosomal RNA", at positions 28 to 526 of the family's 1533-position model. The record is from RNAcentral.
GACGAACGCUGGCGGCGUGCCUAAUACAUGCAAGUAGGACGCAGUUGCGAACGGGUGAGUAACGCGUAGGUAACUACCUAUUAGAGGGGGAUAACUCUUGGAAACUAUAGCUAAUACCGCAUACUAGUAGAUGGACCUGCGUUGUAUUAGCUAGUAGGUAGGGUAAUGGCCUACCUAGGCAACGAUACAUAGCCGACCUGAGAGGGUGAUGGGGCAAAAUGGGACGUGGACACGGCCCAGAAUCCUACGGGGGGCAGCAAUAGGGAAUCUUCGGCAAUGGGGGGAACACUGACCGAGCAACGCCGCGGGAGUGAAGAAGGGUGUCGGAUCGUAAAGCUCUGUUGUUAAGGAAGCGGUACUUAACCAGAAAGGGACGGCUAACUACGUGCCAGCAGCCGCGGUAAUAC